CCUACGGGAGGCAGCAGUGGGGGAUAUUGCACAAUGGGGGAAACCCUGAUGCAGCGACGCCGCGUGAGUGAAGAAGUAUUUCGGUAUGUAAAGCUCUAUCAGCUGGGAAGAAAAAAGACGGUACCUGACUAAGAAGCGCCGGCUAACUACGGGCCAGAAACGGCGGUAUUACGUAGGGGGCAAGCGUUAUUCGGGUUUACUGGGGGUAAAGGGAGCGUAGACGGGGAUACAAGUCGGAAGGGAAAUCCCCGGGGUCAACCUGGGAAAUGCUUUGGAAACUGGAUGGCUAGAGUGCUGGAGAGGUAAGCGGGAUUCCUAGUGUAGCGGUGAAAUGCGUAGAUAUUAGGAGGAACACCAGUGGCGGAGGCGGCUUACGGGACAGUAACUGACGUUGAGGCUCGAAAGCGUGGGGUGCAAACAGGAUUAGAUACCCUAGUAGUC
This 441-nucleotide ribosomal RNA is filed under the name uncultured bacterium. RNAcentral describes it as "partial 16S ribosomal RNA". It matches the Rfam family "Bacterial small subunit ribosomal RNA", at positions 338 to 795 of the family's 1533-position model. The record is from RNAcentral.